UACGUAGGUGGCAAGCGUUGUCCGGAAUUAUUGGGCGUAAAGCGCGCGCAGGCGGUCCUUCAAGUCAGAGGUGAAAGCCCAGAGCUCAACUCUGGAAUGGCCUUUGAGACUAGAGGACUUGGGUACGGGAGAGGUGAGUGGAAUUCCCGGUGUAGCGGUGAAAUGCGCAGAUAUCGGGAGGAACACCAAUGGCGAAGGCAGCUCGCUGGGACGUUACUGACGCUGAGACGCGAAAGCGUGGGGAGCAAACAGG
RNAcentral lists this ribosomal RNA (253 nucleotides) under uncultured bacterium. Its description in RNAcentral is "partial 16S ribosomal RNA". It matches the Rfam family "Bacterial small subunit ribosomal RNA", at positions 524 to 776 of the family's 1533-position model. The record is from RNAcentral.